RNAcentral lists this ribosomal RNA (2925 nucleotides) under Escherichia coli. RNAcentral describes it as "bacterial LSU rRNA". It matches the Rfam family "Bacterial large subunit ribosomal RNA". The record is from RNAcentral. Lineage: Bacteria; Pseudomonadati; Pseudomonadota; Gammaproteobacteria; Enterobacterales; Enterobacteriaceae.
GGGUUGUGAGGUUAAGCGACUAAGCGUACACGGUGGAUGCCCUGGCAGUCAGAGGCGAUGAAGGACGUGCUAAUCUGCGAUAAGCGUCGGUGAGGUGAUAUGAACCGUUAUAACCGGCGAUUUCCGAAUGGGGAAACCCAGUGUGUUUCGACACACUAUCAUUAACUGAAUCCAUAGGUUAAUGAGGCGAACCGGGGGAACUGAAACAUCUAAGUACCCCGAGGAAAAGAAAUCAACCGAGAUUCCCCCAGUAGCGGCGAGCGAACGGGGAGCAGCCCAGAGCCUGAAUCAGUGUGUGUGUUAGUGGAAGCGUCUGGAAAGGCGUGCGAUACAGGGUGACAGCCCCGUACACAAAAAUGCACAUACUGUGAGCUCGAUGAGUAGGGCGGGACACGUGGUAUCCUGUCUGAAUAUGGGGGGACCAUCCUCCAAGGCUAAAUACUCCUGACUGACCGAUAGUGAACCAGUACCGUGAGGGAAAGGCGAAAAGAACCCCGGCGAGGGGAGUGAAAAAGAACCUGAAACCGUGUACGUACAAGCAGUGGGAGCCUCUUAAUGGGGUGACUGCGUACCUUUUGUAUAAUGGGUCAGCGACUUAUAUUCUGUAGCAAGGUUAACCGAAUAGGGGAGCCGAAGGGAAACCGAGUCUUAACUGGGCGUUAAGUUGCAGGGUAUAGACCCGAAACCCGGUGAUCUAGCCAUGGGCAGGUUGAAGGUUGGGUAACACUAACUGGAGGACCGAACCGACUAAUGUUGAAAAAUUAGCGGAUGACUUGUGGCUGGGGGUGAAAGGCCAAUCAAACCGGGAGAUAGCUGGUUCUCCCCGAAAGCUAUUUAGGUAGCGCCUCGUGAAUUCAUCUCCGGGGGUAGAGCACUGUUUCGGCAAGGGGGUCAUCCCGACUUACCAACCCGAUGCAAACUGCGAAUACCGGAGAAUGUUAUCACGGGAGACACACGGCGGGUGCUAACGUCCGUCGUGAAGAGGGAAACAACCCAGACCGCCAGCUAAGGUCCCAAAGUCAUGGUUAAGUGGGAAACGAUGUGGGAAGGCCCAGACAGCCAGGAUGUUGGCUUAGAAGCAGCCAUCAUUUAAAGAAAGCGUAAUAGCUCACUGGUCGAGUCGGCCUGCGCGGAAGAUGUAACGGGGCUAAACCAUGCACCGAAGCUGCGGCAGCGACACUAUGUGUUGUUGGGUAGGGGAGCGUUCUGUAAGCCUGCGAAGGUGUACUGUGAGGUAUGCUGGAGGUAUCAGAAGUGCGAAUGCUGACAUAAGUAACGAUAAAGCGGGUGAAAAGCCCGCUCGCCGGAAGACCAAGGGUUCCUGUCCAACGUUAAUCGGGGCAGGGUGAGUCGACCCCUAAGGCGAGGCCGAAAGGCGUAGUCGAUGGGAAACAGGUUAAUAUUCCUGUACUUGGUGUUACUGCGAAGGGGGGACGGAGAAGGCUAUGUUGGCCGGGCGACGGUUGUCCCGGUUUAAGCGUGUAGGCUGGUUUUCCAGGCAAAUCCGGAAAAUCAAGGCUGAGGCGUGAUGACGAGGCACUACGGUGCUGAAGCAACAAAUGCCCUGCUUCCAGGAAAAGCCUCUAAGCAUCAGGUAACAUCAAAUCGUACCCCAAACCGACACAGGUGGUCAGGUAGAGAAUACCAAGGCGCUUGAGAGAACUCGGGUGAAGGAACUAGGCAAAAUGGUGCCGUAACUUCGGGAGAAGGCACGCUGAUAUGUAGGUGAAGUCCCUUGCGGAUGGAGCUGAAAUCAGUCGAAGAUACCAGCUGGCUGCAACUGUUUAUUAAAAACACAGCACUGUGCAAACACGAAAGUGGACGUAUACGGUGUGACGCCUGCCCGGUGCCGGAAGGUUAAUUGAUGGGGUUAGCGGUAACGCGAAGCUCUUGAUCGAAGCCCCGGUAAACGGCGGCCGUAACUAUAACGGUCCUAAGGUAGCGAAAUUCCUUGUCGGGUAAGUUCCGACCUGCACGAAUGGCGUAAUGAUGGCCAGGCUGUCUCCACCCGAGACUCAGUGAAAUUGAACUCGCUGUGAAGAUGCAGUGUACCCGCGGCAAGACGGAAAGACCCCGUGAACCUUUACUAUAGCUUGACACUGAACAUUGAGCCUUGAUGUGUAGGAUAGGUGGGAGGCUUUGAAGUGUGGACGCCAGUCUGCAUGGAGCCGGCCUUGAAAUACCACCCUUUAAUGUUUGAUGUUCUAACGUUGGCCCCUGAUCGGGGUUGCGGACAGUGUCUGGUGGGUAGUUUGACUGGGGCGGUCUCCUCCUAAAGAGUAACGGAGGAGCACGAAGGUUGGCUAAUCCUGGUCGGACAUCAGGAGGUUAGUGCAAUGGCAUAAGCCAGCUUGACUGCGAGCGUGACGGCGCGAGCAGGUGCGAAAGCAGGUCAUAGUGAUCCGGUGGUUCUGAAUGGAAGGGCCAUCGCUCAACGGAUAAAAGGUACUCCGGGGAUAACAGGCUGAUACCGCCCAAGAGUUCAUAUCGACGGCGGUGUUUGGCACCUCGAUGUCGGCUCAUCACAUCCUGGGGCUGAAGUAGGUCCCAAGGGUAUGGCUGUUCGCCAUUUAAAGUGGUACGCGAGCUGGGUUUAGAACGUCGUGAGACAGUUCGGUCCCUAUCUGCCGUGGGCGCUGGAGAACUGAGGGGGGCUGCUCCUAGUACGAGAGGACCGGAGUGGACGCAUCACUGGUGUUCGGGUUGUCAUGCCAAUGGCACUGCCCGGUAGCUAAAUGCGGAAGAGAUAAGUGCUGAAAGCAUCUAAGCACGAAACUUGCCCCGAGAUGAGUUCUCCCUGACUCCUUGAGAGUCCUGAAGGAACGUUGAAGACGACGACGUUGAUAGGCCGGGUGUGUAAGCGCAGCGAUGCGUUGAGCUAACCGGUACUAAUGAACCGUGAGGCUUAACCUUACAACGCCGAAG